This 83-nucleotide transfer RNA is filed under the name Canis lupus familiaris (dog). It matches the Rfam family "tRNA". Rfam says of the family: Transfer RNA (tRNA) molecules are approximately 80 nucleotides in length. Their secondary structure includes four short double-helical elements and three loops (D, anti-codon, and T loops). Further hydrogen bonds mediate the characteristic L-shaped molecular structure. tRNAs have two regions of fundamental functional importance: the anti-codon, which is responsible for specific mRNA codon recognition, and the 3' end, to which the tRNAs corresponding amino acid is attached (by aminoacyl-tRNA synthetases). tRNAs cope with the degeneracy of the genetic code in two manners: having more than one tRNA (with a specific anti-codon) for a particular amino acid; and 'wobble' base-pairing, i.e. permitting non-standard base-pairing at the 3rd anti-codon position. RNAcentral also lists the same sequence under 1 other name. The record is from Rfam by way of RNAcentral. Lineage: Eukaryota; Metazoa; Chordata; Mammalia; Carnivora; Canidae.
GCCUGGGUGGCUCAGUGGUUGAGCAUCUGCCUUUGGCGCAGGUCGUGGUCCCAGGAUCCUGGGAUCAAGUCCCACAUCAAGUU